GGUGAGUAACACGUGGAUAACCUACCUAUAAGACUGGGAUAACUUCGGGAAACCGGAGCUAAUACUGGAUAAUAUUUUGAACCGCAUGGUUCAAAAGUGAAAGACGGUCUUGCUGUCACUUAUAGAUGGAUCCGCGCUGCAUUAGCUAGUUGGUAAGGUAACGGCUUACCAAGGCAACGAUGCAUAGCCGACCUGAGAGGGUGAUCGGCCACACUGGAACUGAGACACGGUCCAG
Molecule: ribosomal RNA, 235 nt
Filed under: uncultured Staphylococcus sp.
Lineage: Bacteria; Bacillati; Bacillota; Bacilli; Caryophanales; Staphylococcaceae
Description: partial 16S ribosomal RNA
Rfam family: Bacterial small subunit ribosomal RNA
Source: RNAcentral